UGUCAUGGUGACUGUCAGCUGUGCGGCAGUCCCAGCCAAUCACGGUGGGAGACUAUCUAUAAAGGCGGGCGUAGAGCACAUGUCGGCAUCUUGCUUGCCGUAGGCUGGGUCACGUUGCGCCUGGGCGUCCAUUUCCGCUUCCGUGCGGUGACAGGGCUCACUUGGAUGUUGCUGCUGGCUGCGCGCUGCUCAUCGAUACAUGGCCGAUGCCGCCUACUGAACUGUCGCUUUGGUAUAGCGUCCCGUUCCCUGCUCCACGCCACGUUGGCCGGGACUGCCCGAUUGGGUGGCCGACAGUAGCGGCGCAGCGGCGGCCAAUCCACCUAUAAAAACCACUGCUGCUUUGCUUCCACGUUAUUACCGCCUUGCCAGGGCCAGCUCGGACUCGAUCGCUUUGCCGUUCAUUCGGCUAGCGGUGGUUUGUUCAUUUUCCUGUUGUGUCGCUAUCUCUUUUGUUUAGUUGGUGCAACUACAUUUUAAAGUGUGUAUGUUAUGUUAUAUAAGAGUUUUUGCUGAUUUCUCCUUGUGUUUACUUAUUAUAGAUUUUAUUUAAUUAAUUUCUCUUAUUAUUAUUUUGUUUCCAUUAUGUUUUCUAACUGGUUGCUCUGCGAUCCCCCUCAAUUCAGGUGCUGAGCCUACGGUGUUGGACUGGUGUUCUGGUCACGGUGUCCCUUUUUGUAUUGUGUUUGCAGUUGGUUUAUUUUUCAUUUGUUUUACGCGUGGUGUUCCUGGGACCCCCUUUCCUUUGGAUGCAGGUGUUCACAGUAGGUCUCAGCACUGAUUGGAUCUCAGCACCCAAUUUCCCUCCUUAGUGAGUAAUUAUUUAGUAGUCUUAAGAACAGACAUUUUGUAUAAAUAAAAGUAUUUUUGUAUGAUCGAACUGCCGUCUCUGCCUCAUUGCAUAACGGACCUCAGUGCCUUUCCUUCAUUUGUGCUAGUCCACUUAAAAUAAAUCUCUGGGUGAAAUUCCCAGGGUGGCGUUGUCUGGCAAUAAUUAAUGCUACCGAUACUGCCUUUAAGAAAAGGGGCAUCACUCCAUAGCUCGUGCUGCCACACUAACAUUACUUGCAUUUAAUCUGAACGCCACAGGCAUCUAUGCAUAAAUAAACAAAUAAAUACUUUGUUCACGAGUAGAACUUUUAGCUGCAAGUUAAAGUAGUUGGCUAGAUAGCCAUGAACUUGCUAGUGUGGCAGGUUGAGUGUUGCUCCUCCUCCACUCAGGUGAUUUCUGGUGGGCAGAUUGCAGAGUGGUUUCACCUGUAUAAGUGCUGCGCCUUCUCUGGCGCUCACACUGCUGCCUGGCACUCGUGGCGAGGACUCGGUGUGGCGUCUGUUAGUGUUGGUUUGUUGUCGGUUGGUGUGGCGUGCUUCAGUCACUUGAAGGUGAGUAGGCAUGACGCUACUUUCGUGCAACUUUAUGAUGACAAGCAGGUGCCCAGUGAUCGCGAGUGUUUUUGUAACUUUCCAGCGUUGUGGCCGUGUUGUUCGGGGGCGGCAUUGUGAAGAGUGAGGGGAGUGUGGCAUCCGCUCUGUACUGUUGCCGCAGCCGGUGAUCAGUUUCGGGGGCGUAAAGCUCUCUUCGUUCGGCUGUUGGAGCCGCAGCGGUGCUUUUGCUUUUCUUCCUCCUCCUGUGCUCUGGUGAAGCUGCCCUGCACGGCUCUGUGACGUAGCCUACACCUGGCGAUCCCCAAACGUAAACCAUCCACGGCCUCCGGUCCUGGGGCGGCCACUCUGUCUUCGCCAGCCGCUUCGUCUUCUCCAUCCACUCCGUCGUCUUCAUCAUCUUCGGCUGCUCCGGCACCGUUGCCUUUUUCCACACAGUCCGAUGUGGCGGUUGCAUUCCCACGCAGCGCUAAGUUUUCAGUCCCACCACAAUUCUUAUCGGUUUGGUUAAUUGUCUGCUUUUCCUUUCAUCUUUUUGUGUUUGUGUUCUUUAGUUUAUUUGUUUGGGUUAAAUCCUAUGCAUACAUAUAUUUUUGUGUUGCGUUUUGUUGACCCAUUUGGGGUUAAGCAUAUCAAUAUUUUCUUAUUAUUUCUGAUCUAUUGCUUUGGGGUUCAACGGAUUAUUUUCUGUUUAGUUUAACAUAGCUGUUGGGUUUGUGUAUGUGUGUGUUUUAUUAUAGUCCUCUGUUUUAAAUGAUUGUCGUAACAACCUGAGUGUUUCGCCACAACAGUAGUGUAAUUCUGUGUUUCUUUCUUGUGUUUCCAGGACAGGAGCUGGUGUAGCGGGCGGCAGGCUUUGAUUUGGUUUGUAGUGGUUCUUUUGUGGUUUUGAGUUUAUUUAGUCUGACCGCCUCGCUACCGCCUAGCUCUGUGCCUGUUGUAUUUAUUUCUACUUUGGCUUGACACUUCAUUGGUUGUUGAGGUCCCUGAGCUCUUUUAAUUCUGCUUACCGUAGAUAAAUAAAAUUACAUCUUUUGUAAGUCCGUCUCUCGUCCUUCAUACCAAACGUGCAACGAAUCUGUGUGACCUCUGGUUGGCCAAAGUACAGGGCCAAGGUUGUAUUUCCUGGGGUGCAAU
This is a long non-coding RNA of Gadus chalcogrammus (walleye pollock), 2520 nucleotides long. RefSeq lists it as uncharacterized. The transcript has 3 exons. The record is from RefSeq and is a predicted model, not a curated record. NCBI's taxonomy places the organism in Eukaryota, Metazoa, Chordata, Actinopteri, Gadiformes, Gadidae.